This 117-nucleotide ribosomal RNA is filed under the name Jaculus jaculus (lesser Egyptian jerboa). Lineage: Eukaryota; Metazoa; Chordata; Mammalia; Rodentia; Dipodidae. The record is from RNAcentral.
AAGAUUAUUUAUACCACCCUGAAAUGUGCCCAGUCUCAUCUGAUCUUGGAAGGUAUACAGGGUCAAGACUGGUUAGUGCUAGGAUGGGAGAAAAUUUCAAGAUUCACAAGACUCUUU